RNAcentral lists this ribosomal RNA (253 nucleotides) under uncultured prokaryote. RNAcentral describes it as "partial 16S ribosomal RNA". It matches the Rfam family "Bacterial small subunit ribosomal RNA", at positions 524 to 776 of the family's 1533-position model. The record is from RNAcentral.
AACGUAGGAGACGAGCGUUAUCCGGAUUUACUGGGCGUAAAGCGCGUGCAGGCGGUCUAUUAAGUCACUUGUGAAAGCGCCCGGCUCAACUGGGCGAGGCCGUGUGAGACUGAUAGACUCGAGAGAGGUAGAGGCGAAUGGAAUUCCGGGUGGAGUGGUGAAAUGCGUAGAGAUCCGGAGGAACACCAGUGGCGAAGGCGAUUCGCUGGGCCUUCUCUGACGCUCAGACGCGACAGCAUGGGGAGCGAACGGG